CUGACUUCGGCAGCAGGUAUACUAAAAUUAAAACAAUACAGAGAUCAGCAUGGCUCCUGAGCAAGGAUGACACGCAAAUUCAUGAAGCGUUCCAUAUUUUU
Molecule: small nuclear RNA, 101 nt
Filed under: Zalophus californianus (California sea lion)
Lineage: Eukaryota; Metazoa; Chordata; Mammalia; Carnivora; Otariidae
Source: RNAcentral